RNAcentral lists this long non-coding RNA (274 nucleotides) under Nicotiana benthamiana. Its description in RNAcentral is "long non-coding RNA (NBEN_LNC027715)". Lineage: Eukaryota; Viridiplantae; Streptophyta; Magnoliopsida; Solanales; Solanaceae. The record is from RNAcentral.
AGGAAAUGAACCAAAAGUUCUGGAAAACACAACCAAUGUUCUGAUACCUACCCCCUGAAGAAUCCCCCCUAAAAAAGGCUCCCUAAAGUUUGAUGAGUAUAAGCCACUCCUCUCGGAAGAUGAAAUGAGUGGUGGUGCAGAGGAGGAAAAUGAAGAAGAAAUGAGUGAAGCAUCUAAGGAAGAACAACACUAUGAUCUCCUUAUUUUUGCAAUUAAUGGUAAAUAUCAACAUGAGGUCAUUGGCAACCAAGGUUUAUCUCCCAGAAAAUCUUAC